GAUGAACGCUGGCGGCGUGCCUAAUACAUGCAAGUCGAGCGAACAGACGAGGAGCUUGCUCCUUCGACGUUAGCGGCAGACGGGUGAGUAACACGUAGGUAACCUACCUAUAAGACUGGGAUAACUUCGGGAAACCGGAGCUAAUACCGGAUCAUAUUUCGAACCGCAUGGUUCGAUAGUGAAAGAUGGCUUUGCUAUCACUUAUAGAUGGACCUGCGCCGUAUUAGCUAGUUGGUAAGGUAACGGCUUACCAAGGCAACGAUACGUAGCCGACCUGAGAGGGUGAUCGGCCACACUGGAACUGAGACACGGUCCAGACUCCUACGGGAGGCAGCAGUAGGGAAUCUUCCGCAAUGGGCGAAAGCCUGACGGAGCAACGCCGCGUGAGUGAUGAAGGUCUUCGGAUCGUAAAACUCUGUUAUUAGGGAAGAACAAACGUGUAAGUAACUGUGCACGUCUUGACGGUACCUAAUCAGAAAGCCACGGCUAACUACGUG
RNAcentral lists this ribosomal RNA (497 nucleotides) under uncultured bacterium. RNAcentral describes it as "partial 16S ribosomal RNA". It matches the Rfam family "Bacterial small subunit ribosomal RNA", at positions 28 to 507 of the family's 1533-position model. The record is from RNAcentral.